UACGUAGGGUGCAAGCGUUGUUCGGAAUCAUUGGGCGUAAAGCGCGUGUAGGUGGUUAGGUAAGUCGGGUGUGAAAGCCCUGGGCUCAACCGAGGAAGUGCAUCCGAAACUACCUAGCUAGAGGACGGUAGAGGAAGGUGGAAUUCCAAGUGUAGAGGUGAAAUUCGUAGAUAUUUGGAGGAAUACCGGUGGCGAAGGCGGCCUUCUGGGCCGUUCCUGACACUGAGACGCGAAAGCGUGGGUAGCAAACAGG
Molecule: ribosomal RNA, 253 nt
Filed under: uncultured bacterium
Lineage: Bacteria
Description: partial 16S ribosomal RNA
Rfam family: Bacterial small subunit ribosomal RNA
Source: RNAcentral